UUUUUUAUGUUUUGAAUAUAAUGUUCUGUAGUAGCCCACAGCUGACGUUAAAAAUAUGUUGCAUUGGCAAACAAGAUGCUGUAAGUAAUAGGUAAAAUUUAAGUUUCGGGGCGGCUGUUUUAUCAAUAUUUUUACCUAACAACAUUCAUGUUUCAAAAUGAACGCUGGUGACAAUGACUCAAGCUUUAAACCUGGCUGGAAUAAAUUUGUUGACGGUUGAGAGUCGAAUGUAUUGGUGGAACGAAAUUAUGGAUACAAACUCGCCUGACGGUAAUAAAAUAUUUGUUGGACUGGCAAACAAAAAGGCAGGAAAUGUUGUUCGCAAUUAAACACAAUGUUGUUAGUUUGCCAUUACUUUUUCAUAAAAAAACUGCAAGAGAUGAUUCGUUUUCAAAAUAAACGCUGAUUCUCGACGCUU
Long non-coding RNA from Cimex lectularius (bed bug), 418 nucleotides. RefSeq lists it as uncharacterized. The record is from RefSeq and is a predicted model, not a curated record. The transcript has 2 exons. NCBI's taxonomy places the organism in Eukaryota, Metazoa, Arthropoda, Insecta, Hemiptera, Cimicidae.